Non-coding RNA from Peromyscus maniculatus bairdii (prairie deer mouse), 3601 nucleotides. The record is from RefSeq and is a predicted model, not a curated record. Lineage: Eukaryota; Metazoa; Chordata; Mammalia; Rodentia; Cricetidae.
AAACAGUGCCGGGUGCAACCUCUUGAGCAAAAGGCCUUGAAAGAACAUGCUGCAGCUUCAAUUCAGGGGCUGGACAAGACAUGGAGGCCUGUAAAUGUUGUCUGGAUAUAGAAAUUGGCACUGCAUGGGAGUUCUGUUCAUUAAAAGGAGCUGUUCUGAACAAGUAUUUUCUUAAGUUAUCUUCUAUUUCCUGGCUUCGUUCCAAACCAGAGGAGUGGUAUCAACAGUCUACAAGCUGCUGCUGAGAUUUUUCUUCCAUUGGCAACCAGAAAGGAGAUGCUGAAUGUUUAUGCAUUCAGUCUCCCCCAACUUUAUCUGUCUUAGGAUUCUCCAGGCUUCCUGGACUUCAUGAUUGCCUGUUCCAGCUCCACUGCCCUGCAUUAAGGAAGACAGGGAUAGAGAGAGCCCCCUAGCUGCUCUGUGCACUCUCUCUUCCUCCAGCACCCGGUUCCUGGGUGCCAUUCUCUCCCAGCGUGAGCUAUGUUUGCAUGUAUUUGGGAACAAGGGGAUGAAGCAAUGUCAGGACUCAAGACUGACCAAUUUCUAUGUAACUCUGGCCACCGUUAGGCCAAAGGAACCCAAGCUUCCAUACACACUAAAGAGUCAAAGGACAUAGGAAGCUCUAACAUGGAAAGAAGUUGCAUUGAAGCAUGGUAGCUGUCUGCAAAAGAGCUCCUUACAUCCUUAAGAAACUUAGAUCUGGAACCAUCCUAAAGGGAAAAGAAAGUAACAGACUGGAAUUUGGAACACUUGUUCAUUUAAAUUGAAUUUGCAGAUUUAGAACUGGAUAAAAAUAACAUUUGGAGACUCUAUUUUUCAUCAUCCUUACUGAGUAGCUGGGAAUAUCUGCAAUCUGCAAUGAUAUCUAAAGUGAUACUGAACAUAUAAAAGGAAGGCUUCCUCAGAUGUUCACACCUCUAUACCCCCAAGAAAUUAAACAAGGAAGGUGACUCUAAGAAACACAGUAAAGCAGCCAGCCAAAGCCAUUUCACUUCUCCUGCUAUUGGAGGGAGUUCUUUUGAAACAUGAAAAUGUAGGCUCAUGGAACGUGGAUGAAGAUGAAUUCACAUGAAGCUGGCUAUCUAGCCUGGACCCCUACACAGUUUCAGAGAACCCUCCUCAUGUUCUCUCCGCUCAUCAGGCACCAGGUUGGAUUCAUGAGGUCACUUCUCCACCCUGCUCAGGGCCGCACAAGGGACAAGUUACUCACUGGGCACCCAGCAGUGCACGGAGUCAAAGCCAGCAGGAAGCAGCUGCAGUGGACCCGUGGGAAGGGCAUGAGAAAGGAGGAACAGGAAUUGGUCUGCUUGAGACAGCAAAGAUCUCUCAAAGAAAAAAGCCUGAUCAGAGCCCAUUACAGCACAAGCUGCAAAAGACCACUCCCCUUGAAUGCACUCUUUUGAACGUGUUGCCUGGAAACAGACCAGUCAAUCAAGGAACAAUGAUAAGUAGACUUCCUUUCCUAGAUAGGUGUGGGGGUCCCACCCACCACAGCCCAAAGGCUAAUGCAAAGGUUGAAGCUUCUCUAUGAUAUGAAUGUUCAGGGAACCAACUUGGGCCAGGGCAACGCUAAUUUGAAUCUUAAGUUAUGCAGCUUUAUGGCUGAGUGGCCUUCAUCCAUUUGAAUGUCACCUGUUUAUCUAAAAAUGUGCAAGUAGUUUUCUAAUGCCAUUAAUGAGAGAAGACACAGAAAGCAUUUAUCACUGUGGUUGGCACAUGGUAAGCACACAUGUAUGUAAUUGACACACAGUGAAUAAUACUCCUUACCACUGCUGUUAAAUUGAAUUUACAGGAGACCACUAUGGUUUGAAUGCCCUAUCCAAAGAUCAUGCACAAAUCUUAUUUGCAUUACAAGAUAUUAAGAGAUGGGACAGGUUGGGAUCUUUAAGACAUCAUUAGGCUGUAAGGGUUCUGCUCUCAUGAAUGGGUGAGUCCAUUCUUGAAUUAAUAAGUUACCUUGAGACUGAAUCUCAAGACUGGUAUAAAAGCCAAGUUUGUCCUCAUUUCUUGUAGAUGUGCUCACCUGUUCAUAUGAUGUCCUGUGACACCUCACUACUCUGUACAACUCAACCUUCAUAUACAUGAACAGGCAAAACCUUUAUUCUACUGUGUAGUAUUUAGGUGCAGCAACAGAAAACUAAGGCAGAUUAUCAUUGAUUUGGACUGAGCUCCUGAAAUCAGCCCUCAAUGGAUUAACUCAAAAUCAGCAUCUAAGAUGCUGAUCACAGGCUGAAGCCUGGACUAUGUGUUUAUAAGAUCUGUGGGCAGUUAGAAGAGAGGCCAUUGCCAACUCCCUAAACAAGCCAGCAGGAGGAAGUUCCCUUUGCUCUAACCCUGACAAGGAAAGUUACCUAAGGCAAAUUGAUGUUAACCAAUCUACUGCUGUUUAAUAUCAUUAUUCACGCUCCCUCAAAAAACCCAGAUGUUCUGCCAGAUCAUCAGAGAGCCUUUGUAUUUUAUGGAUACGAGGCUGCCCAAUUCAUGAAUCAUUAACAGAAUCCCAUUGUGUUAUUAUACUGAAUUUUUAAAUUAAGAAACUGAUUUUUAAAGUUCUGGUGUGCAUUGUUUGACUCUAUUAAUUAUGAAGAUGAUCUGCUCUUGGUCUGAGGUCUGAGCUGCCUACUACUAAGAAAUCAAUAGUCUGGAGAUGAGCAUUGGGCAGAUGGGGGUGCUUCUGUCUUACUAGCCCUCCAUCUCUGGCUGUGCCAUGGGCACAAAGGGACUGUGAAGGAAAGGAGAGGAUAGCAGAGGUGAGGUGAAGGGAGGGCAGGGAAGAUAACUUCAUGUAGUCACUGGGCAUUUGUCAUUAACAAAUGUCCUGUUGAAUUAUUCCUUGAAACCCAUGUAGCCACAGAAUUAACUAUGGAUGAACUAAGUUCACUCCCACAUGAGGAACAACCAUAUGCAGGUAUGUGAACAAUAAACAUACUUGAUCAGCAUUUGUCUUUUUAGAUGCACAGGCAAGACCAGAUCAAGACACGCUCAUUUAUGGCCAACCACCUUGUGCAAAAAUGUAAAUAACGCUAAAUGUUAGGGUCAGCUGCCCCUAGAAAUACAAGACAUGUAAAUAAAUAGUGUUCUCCAACGUUUGCAAUGAUAUCCUAUUCCAAACACCUCUAGAAGACGUUAUUAUCAUCAUCCUUGUUUUGAUGUCCCAUCCUGCACUGUUAGAACAGUGCCUCUGUUUCUGGGAAGCCAGUGGCUGCCUGGCCCCCUUGCUAUGCUCUGCUCUGUAGCACAGGGCUGAAGCUAUUUCCUGCUGGAAAUACUAACGCUGCUUCCUUUCUGUACUUUUUCCUUCUCACCUAUGGAAUGGGACGAAAUGCCUUACUCUGUGAAGUGAAGGAAAACACCAGGGAGCAUGCACACAGCUAAAAGAUUCUCUUCACCAGAUGGAGCCCCAAGGAAGAGCCUGAGAGUGAUGUAUCUCCCCUGAUCCUCCCUAAAGUCUAGCUGAAGCUUUGGUUCUAAUUGUGUGGAGGGGAUUAUGUAGGGAUGGGGAUGCGAAUGUCAGGGGAAGUGAGUGGAAUGAAGCACCACCUUAACUCCAGGCACUCAAUUAUCUCUGUUCUAGGCAAGACAGUCUCUUGUUUUAUUUCUU